Molecule: long non-coding RNA, 289 nt
Organism: Serinus canaria (Common canary)
Lineage: Eukaryota; Metazoa; Chordata; Aves; Passeriformes; Fringillidae
Exons: 3
Source: RefSeq, a predicted model, not a curated record
GAGCAAUGUUUAACUUGCCAGGGUAUUGUAUACAGGGCAGCACAGCCUCACAAGCCCUUUGCUGCCUCUCCCCCUUCGUUGCUCCAGCUUAGAAAACCGUGGCUAAACCACAGAGGAUAAUUUCUGGACAGAGAACAGCUCACCACCUUCCUCCUUUUGGCAGACUGACUGCUCUUGAACACUGAGGCAGAGUACCAUGGACUUCAGGACUACAGCAUUAACUCUGGUAGCUAACAACUGCUCAAUGUCACUUCCACAAACCCUCCUGGAACAAAUCACACACAGUUUU